UCCAAACAAGAAUAGCUGCCGCCUUCAACCACGACCACGCGAGAUCUGAGAAUGUUUCGAGUCGGGGGGAGCCUUAAAAAAGUAAAUCUGCUGCAGUGAUUUUCAGUCAAGUAGGAUUUGUAUUGAAGUUAAGUAAAACCUUGGUAAUUUCACGACCUAAAGCCGAAAAAACGCAGGAGUUAAAAUAAACAGGAUAUUUGUAAGAAUGCCAUUCAAAAAUGCCAGGAAGAAUACUGCACGAGUGUUUACCAAUGUCCCAAUGAUAGACCAGUAUGAGUAAACUUUUCUAACAGAUGAGUUAAGAACCAUUCUUUUCACUCUACAGAGAAUCUUAGCAAUGUAAUGUGCUACUAAUAUUUUAUCUAUUCCUUGCAAAUGCAAUUUGUUUUAUUGUUCGUUGUCAGAAUCAGCAUAGGUUUGCCUUUUUCAACAUGGGAGAGCAGUUCCAUUGAGCCUUUGCUGACUUGCAGCCCAUUAUCAUCCUUCAAUUUUAUUAUUUGAGUUGACACAAUCGAGGCAACCUUAUGUUACAUGAUAAAGGAGCCGUUUGUGGUGUUCAACGUGCAGUGGAUUUGCAGCCAGUUCCGGUUGGUCAUACUCUUUUUAAAUUGCUGCUUCGACACUUCCGGUGGCUUGAAAUGGUUUCUGUACACCUUGAAAUUUAAUCGGAGCACUAAUAUUGAUCAAUAGAAGGAAAAGAGGAGACUUCAAAACUGAGUUCCAGACGAAACCGUUCCUCCCAAAACUAGUGGCAGGCAAGAUACCAAAAUGGACGAUUUAUGGAAGCGUGUCUCGCCAGCCAAGAAAUUUCCCAAGUUAUUGAAAGACAUUCAUCAUUGAAAGACCGAUCCGGACCGAUCCAUCACCAGAGCCAGUAUCACCGACACUGAAGAGGAAUCACCCAACGAACGUCAUCAAAGUGGAAGCAGAGCUGACAGCAAAACUCUGAUCUUUCGUUGUGCUUCGGUGAAGAGCAGCUGAAGUGUGACGGUAUGAACUGAAGUCUUGUCACGGCCAUUCGCCAUCGCCUGAGGAAAAUGAAAACUCCUGGCAGAAACCUAGCCUACCUUCUCACUGAUCAUCCCACUACCCAUCUUUGGAAGGACUGUAUUUCCACAACCUUGCAAACAACAAUUAGGGCAACUGAUUGGUUACGGCCGAGGCGGAUCCGGUGACAGAAUUGUUAUGCAGACGGUAUUCAACACUACAUGGCCUCCUCCUAACGCCGACUGGCCAGAUGGUUCCACGCGAAAAAUAAUACAGCUCUGCCUGGCUUUAUUUUGCUUCUUCGAUGGAGAAAUAAAACAAUUGCCAAAUGGCUGAAAUAGUUCUAUCAAUAAUAGGUAAACCGAGAACAAAUUUAUACAGGAUUUGCCAUGGCUUCGGUGUCGGUAGUGAGUGAAGCAGCGAUGACACGAUUCAUUACCGGCAAGUUAAACACGAAACUUUAUGUCAACGACAUUAAACAUUUCAAGCCAAGCAAUUGUGCAACUAUUAAUUUCCAAUCUUUUAGACGACUUAAUUUUAGAAGAAAAUAUAGAAAUGCAAGUUCUGCUGUGGAUCUUCUCCAUCACAAACCAAGAUCACAUCUGCCGGACGAAUUGGCUAGUGGUCGCUGAUUUUUAUUCAGUAGGACGAGUUGCAGUAAUGGCAUGGGAUCAAACAAUACGCAUCAUUACAAGAUUGGACUUAAAACUCGUCACUGAAACUGAGCUGAGAACACUGGACCGACAAGAUCCCAAUGCCCAUUAUAGAGCCGCCAUUCCCAACGAGUUUUUGAGUCGAUUUAUUCAAAAAAAAAAAAGGAAAAGCACACUAAACAAGGUGGAGAUCUUUAAUAUAACAGUUGGCGACCAUCGAAAUUCCCCGGGCUGUUUCCUCAAUAUGGAGUUAUGGAAACACAUUACAGAUUCGAGGCUUUCUGUAUUCUCUCCAAUAAUAAAAAAAAACUAUGAGAAUUAUAUCUUCUCCAGCUAGAUAAUUUGACUGCUUAGGACCACGAGCGUUAAGAUUAGUAUUUUUGUAGAUAAUAUUCCUGCCCCUUUAAUUACGCCUUAAUAAAGGAAACGACGAUGUCUUUCAUGAUAUCCAGUGUUUAACAACAGGAUCGGCCCUAGACGAAAUUUACACACCCGUUCCUUCUCCCUCACACAGACAGAGUAUUGCAAGUCGUGCUUUCUCGGACCAAUAACCGGGGUUUUAAGCUGAAAGCAACCUUCCGCUAGUCGUUCGUUACGUUCAGUCGUUAACGGAUGCUAAAGACUCUGUCGGCUGUCACUAGGUAUCACUAGGUGGCUACAAAAAUUGUGUCCACCAGGUGGCAGAGUGUCUAAUCACGAGUGACGAAAUUUUCGCCAUUUGUUUCCGGUGCAGUUGGUGAGCUUGUGUUAGAGAAAUGGAUGCCGUCGCCGUGCGACGAUCAAGUAUCACUGUUUUUUAUUACGCCGGCUUGCGUGAUCUAAGGAGUGGCCAUCCAGAGAUGAAUGUAAAUUCGUUGCCUAGUGUUAUUUUUGCUUACAGUAGCCAUUGCACUCCACCAUUACACUCAACAUGUGGUCAAGAUAAACGUUUGUCUGCAAUGAUUAGCCACUUCCGUUUAUCAAAGGGGUAUCAAAAGGGAAACGAAUGAAAAUAGAAAAUCUGAAAAGGUCAUGAUCAGAUCUAUGGAAAAUAUUCUAGAGAAUGAAAAUAUUCUGUCUAGGGAAUUACGCCUCAAAAGAAAGAACUGCGGUUGCAAUCUUCAACAAUCUUGCGUAACAAUAGAAUAUCGCACGAAUUUUGAUGCUGAAAGACUUGGAAACCAUGCUGUCGACCACGUUGAGAAGCUGAGUAACAUUCUGCUUUUACAAUGGCACCUCUUAAUAAAAGGAACUUGAGCCAUCCAAUCUAGGACUUCCAUCAAAUCGUGCAGGCUGCUUGGAAGUCGCUUUUACCUUUGUCGUGAACAUCAUGAACACAUACACUAUUUGAAGGUUCAUGUUUACGUAGCAGACUAGCAGUGGUGUUGCUGUCCAAUGUGGCGUGUUGUUGCAGCCUAUGGUGGUGAAAGAUAUCUGCAUCAAGUUGCUGUUCCUUGUGCAUCCAAGGUGCUGCUUUUGUGCUACAGAAGUGACAUCUAAUAUUGUGUUUAAUUGCUAUUCGUGUCUUCGCAGUUUACCUUUAUAUAUUGAGAAGGAACAAAAAAAUAGUAAUACGGGGAGGUUUAUGUCAAACAAAUAAUAAACAUGUCCAGGAUGGGGGAAUGAGGAGGAAGUUGGGGUGGGGUAUUUGGUUAUGAUUUACUAAAAGAAGUGAGGUAUAUUUUUAAUGAAUAUGCAGUACUUGGUGAUAAAAUCUGUUGUUAACCUAUACCUUCCUGUCAACCUAUACUUUCCACUUACACAUCCACUCCUCAAACUCCAUAAGCACCAACAUCAAAUCCCACAUCCACUCACAUCUAUUCCUAAAACUCCACCAUCUCCAACAUCAAACUUACACAAACUUACACAAUUGUUGUAUAUUUAAUCAUAUUUAUAUUUAAAUAAAUAAAUUGUCAUUGUA
RNAcentral lists this long non-coding RNA (3540 nucleotides) under Daphnia pulex (common water flea). Its description in RNAcentral is "uncharacterized LOC124203668, transcript variant X7". The record is from RNAcentral. Lineage: Eukaryota; Metazoa; Arthropoda; Branchiopoda; Diplostraca; Daphniidae.